UAGGAAGGGACCGGACAUAGUGGUCUGUGUGUUUUAGAAGAUAAGCGGUCAACAUGCACUCUUGUUUAAGAUGUUGGCCGCUGAUAGUGAGUUAUUGUUUUGGCCUGAGAAAGCCAUUAAAGGCUAGAUAGGUAGCAGUUUUGAUAACUGCAUUGGUGCGUGGCUCGGAAGUGCCUGGUCGAGUGGUUCUGUCAUGGUUUGAACAUUGUAUGUCUAUG
Non-coding RNA from Pelobates cultripes (western spadefoot toad), 218 nucleotides. The record is from the annotation of a GenBank genome assembly. Lineage: Eukaryota; Metazoa; Chordata; Amphibia; Anura; Pelobatidae.